RNAcentral lists this transfer RNA (78 nucleotides) under Thermoplasmata archaeon. Its description in RNAcentral is "tRNA-Ser". It matches the Rfam family "tRNA", at positions 8 to 69 of the family's 71-position model. Rfam says of the family: Transfer RNA (tRNA) molecules are approximately 80 nucleotides in length. Their secondary structure includes four short double-helical elements and three loops (D, anti-codon, and T loops). The record is from RNAcentral. Lineage: Archaea; Methanobacteriati; Thermoplasmatota; Thermoplasmata.
UAGCUAAGUCUGGCCUACGGCGCCGGCCUUGAGAGCCGGUGGGCUUCGUGCCCUCGGGAGUUCGAAUCUCCCCCUCUG